CGCUCUUCCCGCUCCAUUCCCUCUGCCUGAGAGCCCGCACAUCCUCUGCUUUAAGGUCGGGAAGAAGCCGGGACGAGGGCCGGCUGUUUCCCCGCCACGCCUGUAGGGCUAGGCUCGGCUCCAGGAAAGCAGCCUUGCGGUGCUGAGCAGAGCCGGACGGGUGGGAAACUUCCAGAAGGUUCUUCAGGGCCAGCGGGGCACCCGAGUGCGAAUGCAGCUGUGGUGCAGGGCUGGACAGCACGGAGGCCUUCCCUCAGCUGAGGAAAAAGAAGCUGUCCCUCGGGUGGCAGAAGAGCUUUCCUUCAGGUGACAGCAGCUUUCCCUCAGGGGCUUCACACAGCGAGGCAGUGAUUUGGCAUACGGCACUGCAAGUGGGGAGAAAAGGGCUGUGGUGGGAGACGUGCAGUCAUCGCCCAAGAUUUCCUUUGCUGAACUUACAGCAAAGCUUCAAUGAGGAUUCCAUCCCAUUUUUACUCCAUGAUCCUUCAGGCAGAACAGAUCCUUUAUGAACAGAACCAGUGAACAACAUCAUAUGAGCCUUUCACAGGAUAAAUGGGUUGGACGGGCAAUUUUGGCUUCUUCUAGGAUCAUGCUCUCCAUUCAAAUACACAGCUCAAUUAUAUGACUUCCAUACUGAGAAAAUACUUUAACUUUUAAAAUGCACAGCAGCAGUCUGGUCUUAAUAAAAAUGUUUAAAACCCACUCUUAAACCAUAACUCCAAGUUGCAGCUGAACAUGAAACAUCCUCUUACAAACAAUUACACACAAUUUCUGUCAGGCUUUGGAAGAUACGUAUGUGCACUAGGGAUCUUAAAAAUCAAAACCCCCACAACUCUAGGUUGAAAGGGACUCUAGGUGAAAAAGGGAAAGGCUUAAAACCUUUCAAGGUGUGCUUAGACAGAAAUGCAGUGAGCCCUGUAACUUAACAGCAGGCAUCUGUUUGAAGUACGUGCAGCACGUAGGUGGAACCUUUGGCUUUAUGCAUUAUAGAAUCUCUUGGAAGAACUGCUGCAAUCCAAAACUUGAACAACACAGUCUAUGAAAAUGAUUCAUUCUCAAGGUUCCUCUGUAGAGAAACUCUGUAAGAAAAUUAAGUCUGGGGCAAAAACUGGAUCUUCCAGUAUCACAGUGUCUAUCUGAGGAGGACAAAGGGACAGAAACAAAAUCACUUACAUCUUUAUGCUGUGGUUACUUGUGUUUAAACCAUAGGAACAUCUUACAGUUCAACUAGUUGCACAGCUGGAACAGAGGCAGUUUUUCUCAUGGAUAACAUUAAUACCUGUGCUCAAGGCCAUUCAAUAUAAUUCCUUUUUUGUUAUGGUAUGUUCUGUGAAACACUUACUCAUAGUAUGCAGUUUGGAAAUUAAGGUUUCCAGUGAAGAACUGUUCCCAUUUAACAUGUUCCUGUCUUACUAAAGGCUACUUUUGUAAUUUAGAGAAUAAUGGGUUACAGUCAAGUUCUCAAAGAACAGGAAAUACUAAAUCAAUAGGGAAAUAUGAUGUUCUGUCUUAUGAGUGCAUAUGUGUUCAUAUGCAGUCCUAAUUAGUAUGUUAAUUGGCAGCUGAAGAAAAAUAUUAGAAGUGCUUAAGUAGUAACUUGAUUUACCAUUUUGGUCAGGAUUUCUCCUAGGUCUGCAAUUACAAGCCAGAGUGUUAUGAAAUCAUUUAAACACAACUUAUCUUGUUACAGAGAUUUGUUGUUCUUAUUUCUUCUCAAAUAACAUUUAUCUUCAAUGUAGUGCAUCUAGAUUUAUAACAACUUACCUCCUGUCUUAAGUCUUCCUCUCUGUUUUUGCAUGGAGGUUUUCAGUGCCUUUUGAGCUUGAGGAAAUGAGUGAAAAAGGAAGAAACACUGUCUGGAAGUCUGGUACUCUCCUCUGGUCAGAAUACUACAGUGGGGCAGUAAAUGUAGUUAUGAACGAUCCUCCUGUCUGGAGGAAGGCAAAUCCAUGCCUAAUUGAAAUCUAAAUACAAUUAGAUCUCAUUUGAAAAUGUUAUUUAUACACAGAAGGCUAAAACAGAAAGCAAAAUUGCUGGUGGGAAGGUAAGUUAGUGGCCUACUGGUGAGCAUUAAUACCAGAAGUCUACAUCUACCCGCCUGUCUUCCCACAUUUUUCUGUUCCACUCAAUUAUAAAAAGCCAAUGACCUGCUUGAGAAAUAAAAUAUCAACCAGAUGUUUCCUGAGCAAAGACAACUUGUGUUUCCCUUUACACAUCAUCUUCUGAGAGGCAGAACCAGUGACUGCACAUCUGACAUCAUUCACUGUGUUGACUUUGGGUUACUCAAAAUCUUUCCUUUACUUAACCUUCCAACUCAAAUACAAUAGUUUACAGAGAGCAUAUGGAAAGAAUGGAUUUGAAUGACUAGAAUAUGAUGUGGAAGAAUGGUUUAUAUUCACUCUGCUACAACAAAGCCAUUUGCUGUCACAGUCAUGAAAUAAUAACUCGAAGGGUGGAGGGCUAUCCAUUUUCUCAUACACAUUUUGGCAGGACAAAGUGCUGCACGUUGCCCAGCAUCAAUCCUCAUGGAAACAGGAGGUGGGUGAGCAGUAAUGUCAAAAAUGAACUUUUUUCUUCAUAACAUAGAUAUAGUUUAUACGAGAUCAAAACUUAAUCAGUUAUGAAUAAAGCUAUAUAAUGUUUUUGUCUUCUGCAUCUGAAGACUUCAAAAUACCAGCACUUUUUUUUCUUGUUCAUUUGGACAAGAAGCCACAGCACACAAAGCUGCAACAGCUUUUUCUUCCCUGGCAAUACAGGAUAGGUGAAAUAACCAAUGCUUGAAUAAAUUGAAUGAAGUGCCACUACACAUUUAUACCACUAUGAAAGAGAACGGGGACAUAAAUUCAACAGAAAAUCUGGUGUUAUGUUCAUCUCACUUCACUGCUUAGUGUGAACAAAAGAAAAGCUGUUUCCAGUAGCUACUGUUUAAUUGAAUGUGAAUUUUAAUCUGGAAAGUUGUGUACAGCACAAGAAACUGCCUGUGCAGUGGCUUCUAAUAAGGGUACGUGAGCAAAUGCCAUGUAUUCUGCAGUCCCAGUGUGAGGUCUGUAGGAAAUGAAGUUUUCAGCAAGACUGACAAUGGAACAUUCAGCCCCUUCAGUGCUCAGUCUUAAUGUUUGAGCCCAAUGCAAACAAAUGCAUACUAUGUCUUGCUGACAAGUAGCUGUAAGAAUGACAAGGAAGCAAUCAGGUAUUUAUAAUUACAAAACACUUCCUCUUCUAUUAAAGAAGAAACAAAGUAUGGAAUAGUUGGAGAAAGUGAAGAAAAUUAGCUCAUAUAUGAUUCAUCUCUGUGCAGUUACUCAGCUCACUAGGCAUGUAUUCUCUGCAAAUGUUGGAACUCUACAUUUCAAGGUAUCUUCAAGUUUGCAACAGUUUGUUUUGCUUUUCAGUCUUCUUGAACAAUCAACCCAGCUCCUACGUUGCUUCAGAUAUAUCCCAAUCCUGUUCAAAAGCAACUCUGGUACUGCUGUUACUGCUUUGAAUUCCUACAUAUUUAAGACUGUCAAAAACGCCUUCUGAAGCUCAAGAUAAUUUUUGGUAACACUGCCAAAAAAGGAGAUUUGACAAUUGAUAAUGCUCAAGUAGAACACUGUAUUUUUGACAGAUAAUUCAUUUCUGGAGCUCCAGUAAGUGUAUGGGUAUGAAAACAAUGGAAAGUGAAGGACAAUGAUGUUUCAGUACUAUGCUCCCUUGGUGUCUGUUCUUUAUCUGCUGGAAAAAAAUAAAAACGUUGCAACAACUGAAUUCAGAGUGUACUGAGAGUGGUCUUGUACCCCAAUGUCCAAUUCAGUAACAGUAUCCAAGUCAGACUCUUGAAAAGAAACCUGAACUGCUAAGAAGUUUGCUGUCAGAACACAUGGAAUCCCACUAAUUCUCAUGAAUCCAACUUAUUCUUCAGUAGU
Molecule: long non-coding RNA, 3905 nt
Organism: Lagopus muta (rock ptarmigan)
Lineage: Eukaryota; Metazoa; Chordata; Aves; Galliformes; Phasianidae
Exons: 4
Source: RefSeq, a predicted model, not a curated record